This is a long non-coding RNA of Octopus bimaculoides (California two-spot octopus), 471 nucleotides long. RefSeq lists it as uncharacterized. The record is from RefSeq and is a predicted model, not a curated record. Lineage: Eukaryota; Metazoa; Mollusca; Cephalopoda; Octopoda; Octopodidae.
CUUCUACAUUAAAAAUAAAGAUCAGCCUUACCUGUAACGAAGCUUGUCCAUGCUCCUUUUUGUGUAUGGAGUCGGAUCGUAACACUACACAUUCCAUAGCUGACAGCAGAUCUGAGAGGAGAGUAGGAGGGAAGGAAGGAAAGAACACCACUUUAAAUGAUCGUUGACUGACUGAUUGUUACGAUGUGGUUUCUGCGAGAUAAAAUGAUUUUGUGUAUGUAUGGGUGUGACUGGGUUGAAGCUCAGGUCAACAGCACAUACCUAUAAAUAACAACACCCCACCUCCCACAAAUUUACUUCAAUCAGUUCACUUUGAGGGUGACCAAAUGGAUGGACCCUGAUGAAGCUGCACCAACAAUAUUACAAGGUUGCAUUGGCAACAGUGAGUAGUCAUUGCAGCAGAAACACAUGGAGGUCAUUAUAAUAUGCUGUGUACAACUAUAAAAUAAAUUAUGUGGAUGUACAAGUCUC